Molecule: ribosomal RNA, 1314 nt
Filed under: Sinochauliodes squalidus
Lineage: Eukaryota; Metazoa; Arthropoda; Insecta; Megaloptera; Corydalidae
Description: 16S ribosomal RNA
Rfam family: Archaeal large subunit ribosomal RNA (bases 1071-1230)
Source: RNAcentral
GGGUAAAGAUUUAUUAGUUGGAAUUUUUUAACUUAUUUUUAAUAAAAAUAAUUUUAUAAUUAAUUUUUUAGUAUAUUUUAUAGAAAAAAGUAUUUUAAUCAUAGUUUAGUAGUAUUGUAGAAGAAAGUUGAAAUAUAUUGAAAAAAGUUUUAUUUAAAAGAAAUAUUUAUUUUAUGUACCUUUUGUAUCAGGGUUUAUUAAUUAAUUUUUAUUAAUAAAUAAGUUUCUCGAAUUUAAAAGAUUUAAUAAAUUAUUAAAGUUGAUGUGGAAUAAUUAUUUUAAAUAAUUUAUUAGUAAUGAAAUGUUAUUCGUUUUUAAAUAUAUCUAGUUUUUUAAGAAAUAAAUUUAAUUUACAUAUUUAGAAUAUAAUUUUUUAUUUUAUUAAAAGGAUUAUUUUUUUAUAUGAAUAUUUUAAGGGAUAAGCUUUAAUUUAUUUACUAUAAUAAAAUUUAUUAAAAUUAUAAAUAUAAGGUUAGAAAUAUCUAUUAUUAAAAAGUUUGUUUUAAUUUAUAUAUUUUAUUUAUAAUUUAUUUUUAUUUAGAUUUUUUAUUAAAAUAAUUAUUUUAAUUAAAAAUAUAAUGAAAUAAUGAUAAAAUUAGUAUAAAAAUUUGUUGAGGUUUAAUUAUUAAAAAGAUUAAAUUAAGGAAUUCAGCAAAUUAAUACUCACCUGUUUAACAAAAACAUGUCUUUUUGAUUAUAAUUUAAAGUCUAACCUGCCCACUGAAAUUUUUGAAGGGCCGCGGUAUUUUGACUGUGCAAAGGUAGCAUAAUCAUUAGUCUUUUAAUUGGAGGCUUGUAUGAAUGGUUGGAUGAGGUAUUAACUGUCUCAAUUUAAUAAAUAAUAGAAUUUUAUUUUUAAGUUAAAAAGCUUAAAUUUUAUUAAAAGACGAGAAGACCCUAUAGAUCUUUAUAGUUAAAUUUAUAAUAAUUUUUUAGAUUAAUUUUAUUUUUAUAAAUGUAAUUAUUAUAUUGGGGUGAUAAAAAAAUUUAUAAAACUUUUUUUGUAAAUUAACAAUAAUAUUUGAUUAAUUGAUCCAUUUUUUGUGAUUAUAAGAUUAAGUUACCUUAGGGAUAACAGCGUAAUUUUUUUGGAGAGUUCUUAUCGAUAAAAAAGAUUGCGACCUCGAUGUUGAAUUAAAGGUUAAUUUUAGGUGUAGAAGUUUAAAAUUUUGGUCUGUUCGACCAUUAAAUCUUUACAUGAUUUGAGUUCAAACCGGCGUGAGCCAGGUUGGUUUCUAUCUUUAAUUAAAUAAAAUAUUUUAGUACGAAAGGACCAAAUAUUUAAAAUAAUUUUUAAAAAUGAAUAAUAUUAAU